AUGAGCGUGUUCUUGGGCCAUCGUAGAAACAUAGAUAGGGUCAACGACGGAACGAACAACGAAACUUUACGACAGCUUUUUCGUACACGUUCACUUGCAUCACAUACACAAGUGCUCUCUGAACCGUGCAAUAAGCUCUGGAUCCCGCCUGCUUGCAGAAAUGAAUGGAUCAGAAAGGGGGCUGGGUUCUAUUUCCGGGCCGGGCAGGAGGUGAAGGCCAGAAGAAGAAGAGAAGUGCGCCUUCCCGGUAAGGAAGAGGAUAAAAAGGUGCUAAGCAAGUGUAGUUCACCGGUUCCACCGAAUGCUCCUAUCUCUCGGCAAAGAUCGUGUGAGUGUGCAGUUAUGCUUCGGAUGCUUCGCCAUGGAAUAGAUCGAUUCAGUUCCCCUUCUUUUCCGGUGCACUCGCUUUGUAUCUCCGACACACAAGGAAGGACGCGGUGGGAAGAAAGCUGCCCUAGCCUCUGUCCGGUCGAUCAUUCCGCCAGCAUCUUGCAUUCACGCCUCCGUUUGACUGCCGCUCGGGAAUGUAGUUGUAGAUACUCGUCGCCAUAUUCAAUAUGUCACUUAGUCAUAUCUGCCUCGCAGCGGGUCAGCACCUCCGAAAGAAAGGGAGGGAGGACUUCAUUCAGUGACUCCGCGAUCGCCCUCUAG
Molecule: ribosomal RNA, 651 nt
Filed under: Triticum aestivum (bread wheat)
Lineage: Eukaryota; Viridiplantae; Streptophyta; Magnoliopsida; Poales; Poaceae
Description: partial small subunit ribosomal RNA
Source: RNAcentral